UACGUAGGGGCUAGCGUUAUCCGGAAUUACUGGGCGUAAAGGGUGCGUAGGUGGUUUCUUAAGUCAGAGGUGAAAGGCUACGGCUCAACCGUAGUAAGCCUUUGAAACUGGGAAACUUGAGUGCAGGAGAGGAGAGUGGAAUUCCUAGUGUAGCGGUGAAAUGCGUAGAUAUUAGGAGGAACACCGGCGGCGAAGGCGGCUUGCUGGACGGCAACUGACGUUGAGGCUCGAAAGCGUGGGGAGCAAACAGGAUUAGAUACCCUGGUAGUCCCUGAGCGGGCU
RNAcentral lists this ribosomal RNA (282 nucleotides) under uncultured prokaryote. RNAcentral's name for it is "partial 16S ribosomal RNA". It matches the Rfam family "Bacterial small subunit ribosomal RNA", at positions 524 to 817 of the family's 1533-position model. The record is from RNAcentral.